GAGUGUUUAGCGACUUGUCACGCUUAUUGUUAUGUAUUGCGAUGAAUGAAGAGCCGAAUGGCACCAUGCUAUCACUUGUGUCUAGCGCGCUGCGUUGUCGAGUUACUGAGAAACUAACAGUGAGAAUGCCUCGAGUUGUUUCUGAUCAAAGGGCAAAGUUUGAAAACGACGAACUGUUUAGAAAACUCAGUCGUGAAAGUGAGGUGAGGUAUACGGGGUUUCGGGACAGACCCCACGACGAAAGGCAGUUACGUUUUCACACAGAAUGCCGGGAAGGUCACGCCGAUGUGGCUUUCACAGCUACUGGCACAAAUCUCCAGCUGAGUUUUGCGGCCAAUGCAUGGUCGGAUAAACCGGAGGACAGAACACCCACUCAAGAAUUUGUCAAUUUCGACCGGGAACCAGGGAAGGUGCAUUUGAAGUCCCAGUUUAUCAUGAACGGUGUGUGUGUGGUGUGGCGAGGAUGGAUCGACCUUCAACGACUUGAUGGAAUUGGGUGUUUAGAGUUUGACGACGACAGAGCGGAGGUUGAAGACGCAAUACUGAGAGAGCAAAUCGACCAAUACAAUCGACGGUUGCGGGAGUUUGAGGAGCGGCAAAGGCAGUACCGCCAAGACCAAGAGAGGCAGGCAGAGUCGGAGGCAGAGCAGGAGAGACAAAUGCUCGUUAGACUUGAGACUGGGGACUAUUAUCAAACACCCUCGUCGCAGAACGGAUUCCCUCGCCACAGAACACAGAGGUCCGAGAAAGAUUAUCGGAUACGUACAAAAGCCGACAGCAGGAUCGAGGUUCCAAUCCGAGCCCCUCAGAAACGAGCAGCAGUGAUUGACGCUCAGCGAUCGCCAUGGAAACCAAGCCUGUACAUAUUGUAACAUAGACCUCCGCGGGAGACUAACUUAUUCUAUUUUUAAUGUCAAUUUUUAUGAAAAUAUUGACGAAAAUAGAGCAUUGAUAUAAAUAGCCUGAAAGUAUAGAAUAUUUUUUGAAAAAUAUUUGUUGUAAAAACUGUGGAACCAAAGGUUGUGUGCGGAAAAGGUCAUGUGACCUGGACGUGGGUGUAAUUAUCAAGCUAUUUAAUUACCGGUGAUUUAACAACCACAAUGUAUGUACAUGGAAUUUCAGCAGAGCGGAAACUGUCGUCUACUUGUUUGGAUAAUGGUACGUUAAUGACCAGUUGCAAGAAAUGCAACUUGUAAGGAAUCUCAUUUUUAUGUCUGUGGCCAUACUUCCAUCUCAGUUUCAGAGACAUUCCAUGCGUGAAUGUUGUUACUGUGUGUAUUCAAUGGUACUGUUACAUAUGAGAUACAUAUACUACUAAAAAAAAGUUAAGGACCACCCGAUUCUUUUAUAUUACUAUAGUUUUUAAUCUGUUCUAGCAUGACUGAUUCAUUUAUAGUAAUUUGAAAGAAUUGUUCUUAAUUUUAUUUGAGUAGUAUAAUAUGACUUUCCACUAAAAAAAAUAUGACAAUAUGUUGUAAUGAUGAAUGUAUAACAUGACUAGAAAAUGUUGAUAUUUAUUACACUGUGUUAUGUUUGGUCAGUAAGUUCUGGUGGAUUUUGAGGGCAUAACAAUAAAAAUGCAUGUUAUGAAAUGAUAUUGUAUGCUUGUUAAGAGGUGCAUAUUGUUAUAAGUUAUUUUCAUAAAUGAAUUUUGUUAACAGAAUGAAAUGUUAUUUGCUCAAUAAUGUAGCCAAAGUCCAGCCAUUAUCAGUAUCAAUUUUUUAGUUUUUAAGAUUAUGUUUUGAAAAAACACAAAAAACCGUCAAUGCCAGUAGGGCACAUUACUUUAAUAUAAGAAGACUGGGGCACAUUACUUUGAUAUAUGAAGACUGGGGCACAUUACUUUGAUAUAAGAAAACUGGGGCACAUUACUUUAAUAUAUGAAGACUGGGGCACAUUACUUUGAUAUGAGAAGACUGGGACACAUUACUUUCAUAUGAGAAGACUGGGGCACAUUACUUUGAUAUAAGAAAACUGGGGCACAUUACUUUAAUAUAUGAAGACUGGGGCACAUUACUUUGAUAUGAGAAGACUGGGGCACAUUACUUUGAUAUAAGAAAACUGGGGCACAUUACUUUAAUAUAUGAAGACUGGGGCACAUUAUUUUGAGGUAAGACUGGGGCAC
This 2125-nucleotide unclassified non-coding RNA is filed under the name Haliotis rufescens (red abalone). Its description in RNAcentral is "core-binding factor subunit beta-like, transcript variant X4". Lineage: Eukaryota; Metazoa; Mollusca; Gastropoda; Lepetellida; Haliotidae. The record is from RNAcentral.